GAGUUGAGACACGGUUCAUAGUAUUAGAAAUUGGAAAAGCAGUUUGGGAUUUCAUUGGUAUUCAAUAACAAUGAAUAUUUCAUCAUUUUCUGAAAAAGAUUUUAGUGUUGUAGAUUGGAUUAAUAAUACAUUAAAGGACAAACCACCAGAUGAAUGUCGUGAAGGUAAUUCCAUCUAUGUUGAAAAAGUUACAGUUAUGUGUAGAACAAGUACACGAGGUACUAGAUGAAACAACAACACAAAUUCUUUCUUCUCUACCAAAAGUUGUCAAUGACAUUGAGCAAUUUGAAAAUCAAGCAUCUAACAUACAAAAAAAAAUUGUUGAUUUAAAACAAGAAAU
Long non-coding RNA from Aphis gossypii (cotton aphid), 340 nucleotides. RefSeq lists it as uncharacterized. NCBI's taxonomy places the organism in Eukaryota, Metazoa, Arthropoda, Insecta, Hemiptera, Aphididae. The transcript is spliced from 3 exons. The record is from RefSeq and is a predicted model, not a curated record.